Molecule: long non-coding RNA, 698 nt
Organism: Ornithorhynchus anatinus (platypus)
Lineage: Eukaryota; Metazoa; Chordata; Mammalia; Monotremata; Ornithorhynchidae
Exons: 2
Source: RefSeq, a predicted model, not a curated record
UGGGUUUAGAGGAAAAAUGAGAUUAGAGUCUCUCAGGGACUUUGGGUAUGGGUGAGCAGAGGACUACCUUGGAUUUCUAGCCCGAGAGACCUGAGAGCCUGUGAUUUUCUAUGAGGUUGCAGUGGGAGCUGCCCAGAAAGAAAGAACUCUCCGGAUUACUUCAAAAAACCACUCCGGGGAAACGAAGGAGCACCUGGAAACCACUUGGCCCCACUGGCCAACUCCAUUAUCUUUGAGUUCCUUCAGAGCCCAGCACAAUCAAUCUGUUGUACUGAUGCUGGUGGAUAGAAGCAAGAGGAGACCAGCAGGAUCCUCUUUCUCGGUGACAUUUUAGCGCCCACCCCCAAGCUAGCUAAGGGACACCGAAGAGGACACUCCAUCCUAUUGACAGCUCCACGUUUAGUAUGCUAAUCUAUUCAUCUGAAAAGUUAUGUUUACAGUGAUACAUGGGUGGAAAGAUAGAGGAAGAGAGAUGAUAGAUUAUUGUAUGGCAAGGCACCCUAUUAAAUGCGGGACCUUGAACUGCAUCUCUUUCCCUAGCCUUUGAAUUCAGGAGUGGUGAUAUCUGCCUUAGAGUUCUCCCAAACAGUCACAUCCCUCUCAUAGGGCUACCUCAAGUUGGAGAACCACCAGAAACACAGUUUGAAACCCAUCUGCCAUGUACUGAUGGCAUAAAUAAAGGAAAUUCUAUUGUUAAA